This is a long non-coding RNA of Pseudopipra pipra, 2465 nucleotides long. RefSeq lists it as uncharacterized. The transcript is spliced from 2 exons. Lineage: Eukaryota; Metazoa; Chordata; Aves; Passeriformes; Pipridae. The record is from RefSeq and is a predicted model, not a curated record.
ACCAUACUUGGAUUGGCUGGGAUGAUACUGGGAUCAGACUGGGAUCACAGUGGGAGCAACUUGGCCCAUGCUGAGGGCAACUGGGAUCAUAUUGGGAGCAACUGGGAGCAUACUGAGGGUAACUGGGGUCAUACUGGGGUCAUACUGGGAGUGACUAGGAGCAUGUUGGGGGCAGCUGGGACAGGGAAUGUCGAGGGACAGGGAAUGGCCCUGGGACAUGGAACAGUUCAGGGAUAGGUAAUGGCCCUGGGAUAUGGAAUGGCCCCAGGACACGGAACAGCUGAGGAACAUGGAAUGGCUGGUUCCUGCCCUGGAUCCCACGGCCAGGAAUGCUCGUUUUGCCCCUCGUGGGCAGCGAGGGGUGCUGGAGGGUCCCUGUGAACCCCCUGCCCCCAAAUCACUCCUGGCACCGCUCCGGGGCUCUGUCACCGAUCGGUUGCUGCCCUGGGGCAGAGGGCUUGUUGCAGAGUUCGGGAUUAAACCCAACAAACUCGGGCGGGGGGGCAGCCCUGGACACCAGGGCUUUGCUGCCACGGCUCUGCAGGGGCUUCCCACGGGGUCACGGCCUCCUUUGGGCAGCCCCCGCUCCGGCGUGGGCUCCUCCCCGGGCUGCAGGGGGGACUCUGCUCCAUCCCGAACUCAUCCACAGGUCACAGGCCCUUCAGCUCAGGUUCUCACGGAGCUCCAGCCGGUUCAGUGCAGCGGCGCUGCCCCGGUGUCCCGCCAGGCCGGGCACCUCGCCAGGGCUGUGACUCCUAAAGCAGCGGCUCCGGGCACCUCGCCAGGGCUGUGACUCCUGAAACAGCGGCUCCGGGCACAUCGCCGGGGCUGUUUCUCGUAAAGCGCGUGGCUUUGAGGAAAGGGAGGUGCUGCCGCAGCGUCAGCGGGAGCAGGGACAGGGCAGGACUGAGCUGGCAUCGCCCUCCUGAGCCCGGGUGUCCCACAGGGCCGGGUCCAGCUGUGCUCUCUCUUCACGGCCCAUUCCAUCUGCCCUGACAGUGGGGGUAAACUGCAGCCAAGGCUGAGCUGAACGAGGCUUUGUCACCACUUCUGAUGCCUUGGGCACAAGAUCUGGUGUGUCGUGGGCAGGGAGAUGGCACUUGUUACCCUGUAGUGAGUCAAGGGGAGGAGAGUGAAUUCUGCUCCGUUGAUGGGAUUGCAGAGGAUCCCUUGGGUUCCCAGGCCGGAUGGACCAAGGUGGUGGUUGUGGGCCAGACUGGGGGAGUGGGGGCUGGGCUGGACCAGGACGAAGCAAGUUUGGAUUUGAGCUUAGUUCUCUCUUCCCAAGAUUGCUGUGCCAUAUCCAGAGAGAAUUUGUGAGGGGGAAGGAGGAUGUGAGCCUAAGAGGAGAAAUAAUAGGCAGCUUCCUCUCCACAUCCCACUCUGUCUCCCCAGAGCCUGCCCCUCCAUCCCAGCCUGUGGGUCCCACUUUGGGGUCCAAUGACCCCCCCCCAGGUGUCUCCUUGCAGGGACACCUCAGGUCAGGGCUGAAUUACUCUUUUAUUUUCAGAUAAAAAGUAGAAAUUCCUGUUGACUGGUUGGAUUCCCUCUCUUUUGGUCACUACAGAAAAGACCCUUUGAAUAAUUCCCACGUGCACUUGUGGAUUCAUUUCCCUUCCCUGGGCAGCCAAAAAAAAAAAAGGCCACAACUCUAGUGGCAUGUAAUAGUUUUGAACUGCUCUUUAGGACACAAAAGUCCUUUUUUCCCCCAAACCCUGUGCCUUUGGGAGUAUUUUCCAUGGUAGGAUCCUCUGUUAUUCCCCAGCGGAUCUGUUUUCUCCUCAUUUUCCAACUCCACCUGUUUUUCACUCCAAAAUGCCCUAAACUGUAGCCUGGGUGUCAGAGACUGAAAUGGUUAAUUAUUUAUGUAUUCUAGGAGACUUUUGCAGGCUUUUGACUUGCAUGAUACCUCUGAUGAGCAAUUGGGCCCCUCCCUCCAUUGCUGAGGGUGUGAAGCCCUGAAAAGGCAAGAGCUGAGCUUUCAGGCUUUUGACUGUUGAUACAUCUGCUGAGCAAUCAGGCCCCUCCCUCCCUCUGCUAAUCUUGAAAGGCGGGAACCAGGCGAGACACAAAAAACUCAGCACACAGACCUAGGAGAUGUUGGAGGCUCGAGGCACGGCCCGUGACACUAACCAUGGAUAUAAUAACCCAUAACUUCUUGGAGUAUGGGGGCUUCCCUCCUUCACUCCCAGCAGAUCAAGGCCACCACUUCAACUGACAGACAUGGAAGCAUCGCUGGACCCCGUGGGCGGUGACUAUAUACAUCUGUCCACUCUCAGCUUUUCUUUCCCUUAUUCUCCCUUGCUCUUAUCCUGCCUUUCUCUCCCCUAUGCAUUUUCUUCCCCCCCACAAAGGUUAUCUCUGUGUCACAUUGUUGUACAACAGCUGUUGUAUGCUAGCAAACUGCUAGCAUGCCUGUUGAUACAGAAUUGUUAAAAUAAACCUUGCCAGUAUAUGUUUUCAGA